RNAcentral lists this ribosomal RNA (198 nucleotides) under uncultured bacterium. Its description in RNAcentral is "partial 16S ribosomal RNA". It matches the Rfam family "Bacterial small subunit ribosomal RNA", at positions 328 to 539 of the family's 1533-position model. The record is from RNAcentral.
ACGCUCGACACCUACGGGAGCAGCAGUGGGGAAUAUUGCACAAUGGGGGAAACCCUGAUGCAGCGACGCCGCGUGAGCGAAGAAGUAUCUCGGUAUGUAAAGCUCUAUCAGCAGGGAAGAAGAUGACGGUACCUGACUAAGAAGCACCGGCUAAAUACGUGCCAACAGGCCGCGGUAAUCUGAGCGGGCUGGCAAGGC